GACGAACGCUGGCGGCGUGCUUAACACAUGCAAGUCGAACGGAAAGGCCCUGCUUUUGUGGGGUGCUCGAGUGGCGAACGGGUGAGUAACACGUGAGUAACCUGCCCUUGACUUUGGGAUAACUUCAGGAAACUGGGGCUAAUACCGGAUAGGAGCUCCUGCUGCGUGGUGGGGGUUGGAAAGUUUCGGCGGUUGGGGAUGGACUCGCGGCUUAUCAGCUUGUUGGUGGGGUAGUGGCUUACCAAGGCUUUGACGGGUAGCCGGCCUGAGAGGGUGACCGGCCACAUUGGGACUGAGAUACGGCCCAGACUCCUACGGGAGGCAGCAGUGGGGAAUAUUACACAAUGGGCGGAAGCCUGAUGCAGCAACGCCGCGUGCGGGAUGACGGCCUUCGGGUUGUAAACCGCUUUCGCCUGUGACGAAGCGUGAGUGACGGUAAUGGGUAAAGAAGCACCGGCUAACUACGUG
Molecule: ribosomal RNA, 468 nt
Filed under: uncultured bacterium
Lineage: Bacteria
Description: partial 16S ribosomal RNA
Rfam family: Bacterial small subunit ribosomal RNA
Source: RNAcentral